ACAUGCAAGUCGAGCGAUGAAGCUCUUCGGAAGUGGAUAGCGGCGGACGGGUGAGUAACACGUGGGUAACCUGCCUCAUAGAGGGGGAAUAGACCUUUCGAAAGGAAGAUUAAUACCGCAUAAGAUUGUAAUGUCGCAUGACAUGGCAAUUAAAGGAGUAAUCCGCUAUGAGAUGGACCCCGCGUCGCAUUAGCUAGUUGGUGAGGUAAACGGCUCACCAAGGCGACGAUGCGUAGCCGACCUGAGAGGGUGAUCGGCCACAUUGGGACUGAGACACGGCCCAGACUCCUACGGGAGGCAGCAGUGGGGAAUAUUGCACAAUGGGGGAAACCCUGAUGCAAGCAACGCCGCGUGAGUGAUGACGGUCUUCGGAUUGUAAAGCUCUGUCUUUAGGGACGAUAAUGACGGUACCUAAGGAGGAAGCCACGGCUAACUACGUGCCAGCAGCCGC
This 451-nucleotide ribosomal RNA is filed under the name uncultured bacterium. Its description in RNAcentral is "bacterial SSU rRNA". It matches the Rfam family "Bacterial small subunit ribosomal RNA", at positions 53 to 518 of the family's 1533-position model. The record is from RNAcentral.